GAAACAUUCCCUCCACUACCACGGCUGGUCUCAUACCGGAGAAAUGUUGUGGAGGUCCUGGCAUUUUGUUCCACAUGUGCUUCCUGAUGACGGACAGCUCGGGAAGUGAUGGGCGUGUAGGUGUGCCACCUGCUCAGCUCCUGUAUUAAACCCCAGAAAUCCUGCGGUAAGCAGAACCGAGGGACACCUCUGAAGGCCUUUGGGAUGUCCCUGCUGUGACAAAGGCCCUGGAAAUAGAUGAUGGCAACUUCUUGACCUUUGCCCCGCUGCAGUGCCCCCUCUAGGCAGGCCAGGGCAGCUGUAAACACCGGUCCUAUCACCAUGGAGGCCUCUUUCUCUUCCCACUGCCCAUACAGCCAGGGAAGUGGACCCAGAUCCGCCACACCAGCCUCAGCCCCGACCUGCCUUUGGGAGCUCUGGGCCCACAGAGCUGUGUGCACCGUGGCACCUAGUUCCCCUUGAAGGAAUGAAGCAAACG
This is a long non-coding RNA of Amphiprion ocellaris (clown anemonefish), 478 nucleotides long. RefSeq lists it as uncharacterized. The transcript has 3 exons. The record is from RefSeq and is a predicted model, not a curated record. Lineage: Eukaryota; Metazoa; Chordata; Actinopteri; Pomacentridae.